GAUGAACGCUGGCGGCGUGCCUAAUACAUGCAAGUCGAGCGAACAGAUAAGGAGCUUGCUCCUUUGACGUUAGCGGCGGACGGGUGAGUAACACGUGGGUAACUUACCUAUAAGACUGGAAUAACUCCGGGAAACCGGGGCUAAUGCCGGAUAACAUGUUGAACCGCAUGGUUCUACAGUGAAAGGCGGCUUUGCUGACACUAAUAGACGGACCCGCGCCGUAUUAGCUAGUUGGUGAGGUGACGGCUCACCAAGGCAACGAUACGUAGCCGACCCGAGAGGGUGAUGGCCCACACGGGAACUGAGGCGCGGCCCAUACUCCGGCGGGAGGCAACAGUAGGGGAUCUUCGGCAAUGGACGAAUGCCUAACGGAGCAACGCGGCGUGAGUGAUGAAAGUCUUCGGAUCGUAAAACUCUGUUAUUAGGGAAGAACAAAUGCUUAAGUAACUGUGCGCAUCUUGACAGUACCUAAUCAGAAAGCCACGGCUAACUACGUG
Molecule: ribosomal RNA, 497 nt
Filed under: uncultured bacterium
Lineage: Bacteria
Description: partial 16S ribosomal RNA
Rfam family: Bacterial small subunit ribosomal RNA
Source: RNAcentral